UACAGAGGUCCCAAGCGUUGUUCGGAUUCACUGGGCGUAAAGGGUGCGUAGGUGGUGAGGUAAGUCGGAUGUGAAAGCUCGGAGCUCAACUCCGAAAUGGCAUUGGAAACUACCUUGCUCGAGGGUUGGAGGGGGGACUGGAAUACUUGGUGUAGCAGUGAAAUGCGUAGAUAUCAAGUGGAACACCAGUGGCGAAGGCGAGUCCCUGGACAACUCCUGACACUGAGGCACGAAAGCUAGGGAGCAAACAGG
RNAcentral lists this ribosomal RNA (252 nucleotides) under uncultured bacterium. Its description in RNAcentral is "partial 16S ribosomal RNA". It matches the Rfam family "Bacterial small subunit ribosomal RNA", at positions 524 to 776 of the family's 1533-position model. The record is from RNAcentral.